Molecule: long non-coding RNA, 2994 nt
Organism: Equus quagga
Lineage: Eukaryota; Metazoa; Chordata; Mammalia; Perissodactyla; Equidae
Exons: 4
Source: RefSeq, a predicted model, not a curated record
GAAACCGUGGAUAAGGGGCACUACGCUACAAAGCAUCUGGGUUGCUAAGGCCGCACCCAACAGGAGAAGGCUCAGAGGAGGCUCAUCUCCUCCAGCUGCUCCUGAGAGUCCACUUCACCUGUCCUGUGUCCCACUGACCUGCUGACCUACUGACCUCUCUGAAACGUCCUACCACCCCUCUCAGGCUUGGUCUGCUCUGUGCCCCCCACACCACCCCCUCAGCCCUUUUCCUACCCAACUUCUCUCUUUUUUACCACACCCCUCCCUGUCCCCAUUCUCAGUUCCAACCCUGCCCACACCCAGACCCCCUCCCCACCCCUGUCCCGCCCCCACCUCCUCCCUGGCACCUUGAGUGCCGCCUGAGAGAACCAGGACAUGGAGGCGCAGAGGCUGCUCUUCCUCUUGCUGGGGUCUCCUGGUCACCGAAACUCGACUGAAGGGUGUAUUUUUGGAUAUUUUUCAAAGGAUUAUAGCCAAGUAGUUCAUGGAGACACAAAAGAAAACCUAGGCUUCCAUUCCAAGUGAUAAAAUUCAACUUAUCAAAAGAAAGGUGUGAUUGAGAGAGAUUCCGGCCCAGCAUUAGACACAAGAACUGGUAGGGUCCCAGGUGAACUGGAAAUUGAGCCCUGCUUCAAGAUGCUGCCUACCUGGGAACUGCUCUAUUGGCCAUUUACUUCUGGAACACUGUCCUUGCUUCAUGUUGAAGACUCCCCAUUUACAGGAAGAUUCGGAAUCACUACACCUGGGACGGCACCGGAACCUGCUCGCACCCCUGGGGCUUCUGAUGCCUGUGCGCUGAGGACUGGUGAGCAACACUAGGAGGCAGCAGAGCAUUGUGGGAAGAAUGUGUGUUCUGCGAUCAGACUGUCUACUUUAAAAUCCUACUUCAGUCACUCAUUUGCUGUGCAAUGGAAGCUGUCUGUGCCUUAGAUUCUUCUGUAAAAAAAAAAAAAAAAAAAGGUGGUAAUAAUAAUAUCAGCCUCAUUAGAUUGCAAUGAGAAUUAAGAGAGAACACAUUUAGGACACAGCACCAUGUCUGGCGCCUACUAUGUGCAGUCGUUGUUGUUGGUGGCAUGUGUGGUACUCUUGCAGCGCUGUUGUAGGGGGCUCUUUUUCAUAAAGAGUGAGGCUGUAGCCCAGAUCUAGAAUUUCAUGGGGUAGAAAUACAUCUAUUUUCAUUUCUGGAGUACUUUUCCUCCCAGGGGACUGGGCAAGCCUUGUACUAUGAAACAGCAUGUCAGGCUAAGGGAGAGGGUGAAGAAUAUGGAGGAGAAGAAAUGCAAGGAUUUUGGUUUGGGGUCAUAAGGAACUGACAAUUUGUCAAGCACACAACUCUAAAAGCAAAAGAUGUCUUCACUUAGAAACUUUGUCACAGGUAUGUACUAUUUGUAGUGAAUUAUUUCCUAUUUUAUGCAGUGUAAUGGAACUUUGAGUUUGUGAGAUUUAUUUUUAAAGUGUGCGGAAAAAUGCAGAAAAUUAUACCACUUCUCUUGUGUACUAUGUAAGUACAGAUAUGUUUAUAUUAGCAUUUCAGAAAAAAUGCACAAAACUCAUAAUUCAUGAAAGACAGUAAGCAGGUGAACGAACAGAUCUUGUAACUGGAAGGGACUUUACAAGUCUCUGAUCCAGGUCCAUAACUUUAUAUACAGGUGGUCUUUAUUAAUUACCAUUUUUACAACAAAAUAGUUGGGGUUAGUGAUAUUCCAACGUCACAUGGAAAAUAUUAGAGAUAUAACUAGAAUUUGAGUUUUCUGCAUGUUUUUGAGCUGGAUAAAUUGACAUGGGGAUCAGGAACUGGGAGUGUGUGGUGGGACAAAACAGACCUUGAAGGAGAACCACAAGCAUACUUGAAGGAUCUGGGAAAGCUCUCAUUCCUGUCCAUUGUACUUUUCAGUGAGUGAGGUCUGAUGUCUGUUCGGUGAAGGAAGGCUCGCUGGUCAUCUUCAGUUUCCAUAAGGAGCAUCAUGUGGGUAAAUCAUCAUUGUCUGAGGUUUUAUUGGUAUAGAAACCUGACAUGUGGGUACAUUGAGAAUGGAAUCAUCUCUCACAGGCACAUUAGCAUGGACCAGACUCAGAACAAUGCCAAAUAAAGCUAUUUACUAAUUUAUACUGAGAAACUUAACCAUCAAUGAGACAGGCACUACAUUCUCCCAUCAGCACAUUCCCACCCUAUAUAAGGAUGUUGAGCAUGGAAGGAAGGACAUGGUGAUUUAGGAUGAUUUUAAUGGAUAUGUCAUGGAGCCUUGAUAUGAUGGAUGCACGCAUCUCCAUCCACACAGACACCUGGUGCACUGAGCAGAGUGGCCUGGGGUACUGUGUCCGGGGCUGGUGAUAUAGAUCGGCUGCCAAAUCAGCCUGACUUUCCAUUUCCUGUGUUUUCAAACUUGACUCAACUCUUUCCCACAAUGAGCUGUUAUUUCUAUAAAUAUGUUAUUACCUUCCUGCAGUCAAUUUGCAGCGGAGUCUUGGCUUGGGGACCUGCCUUUUUUAAAGGUGUCUUUGCAUCUCUUUAAUCUAUUAUAUGCAUGCUUUUUACAAGUGUGAUUCUCAGAUAGAAAUUUUAUAUAUUUCCUCAUUUCCAGAAUUUUUUUCAGGGCAACUUUAUGACUGACUCCAUGUACUGCCUACCAUUUCAGAAAGACCUGACUCAAAUUUUUUUCCUUGAAACGUCCUUAAACAUAUACGUCAAAAAUAUAAUGUGUUCCUGAUACUUGUGUCCAAAUAGAUAUAAGUUCUAAACGGGGUAAAAGAGCUAAUAAAUGUUAGAUGUCCUCAAAUAUGAUGUGAUUUACUAUGUGCCAAGAUGGAAAUACAUCCAUGAAUAUACUGCUAUUUACAGCACAAUAAUGGAGAAACUCCAGGUUAUGAAUCAAACAGGGCGUUGGAGAUUCUAAAAAUGAGUCCAUUGUACUAUCAAAUCCUACAGGAGUAACUUGGAUUUUUUUCCUGAAGACUUAUUCCUUUGAAUAAUCAUGAUGAGCAUUGUAGAUGUGG